Cyprinus carpio (common carp) is the source of this 294-nucleotide long non-coding RNA. RefSeq lists it as uncharacterized. Lineage: Eukaryota; Metazoa; Chordata; Actinopteri; Cypriniformes; Cyprinidae. The transcript is spliced from 3 exons. The record is from RefSeq and is a predicted model, not a curated record.
CACAUUGCGGGAUGACGUCACCUGAAAAUGACGCUGCUGAGCUGUGUGCCGCGCGCUUUUUUUUCUUGCAGGAGACUUGUUGGCUUCGCUAACGGACGCAGUUUUGAACUCGUAUUAGCGCCAUUUAUAGCUGAUUGGACCAGCAUCUUCGGAAUUUGUAGACAUCUUGACAACUUACAAUUAAUUCGAGGUGAGGUUUAAGGGUGGUGACACAGCUAAGACCUGAGAGUCUCUUUCAAGAUACUGAAUUUGAGCAGAAACCAUAAAGAUACUCAAAGGACCUGUGACUCUCAG